UACAGGGGGUGCAAACGUUGCUCGGAAUUAUUGGGCGUAAAGCGCGCGUAGGCGGCUACUUAAGUCGGAUGUGAAAGCCCUUGGCUCAACUGAGGAAGUGCACCCGAAACUGAGUGGCUUGAGUACUAAAGAGGGUCGCGGAAUUCCCGGUGUAGAGGUGAAAUGCGCAGAUAUCAGGAGGAACACCGGUGGCGAAGGCGGUUCUCUGGGCCUGUACUGACGCUGAGGAACGAAAGCGUGGGGAGCGAACAGG
This 253-nucleotide ribosomal RNA is filed under the name uncultured bacterium. RNAcentral's name for it is "partial 16S ribosomal RNA". It matches the Rfam family "Bacterial small subunit ribosomal RNA", at positions 524 to 776 of the family's 1533-position model. The record is from RNAcentral.